RNAcentral lists this long non-coding RNA (420 nucleotides) under Homo sapiens (human). RNAcentral's name for it is "HSALNT0349043". Lineage: Eukaryota; Metazoa; Chordata; Mammalia; Primates; Hominidae. The record is from RNAcentral.
CAGACAGAUAACUGCUAAUGGGCAAUCCCCCCUUAUCAACCAAAACCCAACUAACAGGAAAAUGAAAGCACAGGCACAUAUCCUGCAAAAGUCCGCAGAAGGCCGCAGAACUCCGCAGAAGGCCGCAGAACUCCGCAGAAGGCCGCAGAACUCCGCAGAAGUCCGCACACAGUAAGGAAGUUGCCUCCGCGUCCAGCCCGCUGAUUGAGCAGGCCGAGAGCCAAUGCGCAAAGAAGGUCCACUAAUUAUGGAGAACCAAAGUUUUUUCUUAAAACUGACGGGACAAUCGAUGAACCUGACCACUGCAGACAUGGACUUCCCUAAACUUCAAUCUGUGGAGAGAGGCCUCAGAGUCUUCACUCGCUAUUUCAUUUUCAGGCUCCUUCCAGCAAAAUAAAAGUAAAAACAACAGCUAUUUGA